GGCUCAUUAAAUCAGUUAUCGUUUAUUUGAUAGUACCUUACCACUUGGAUAACCGUGGUAAUUCUAGAGCUAAUACAUGCUAAAAACCUCGACUUCGGAAGGGGUGUGUUUAUUAGAUAAAAAACCAAUGCCCUUCGGGGCUCUUUGGUGAUUCAUGAUAACCUAACGGAUCGCAUGGCCUUGCGCUGGCGACGGUUCAUUCAAAUUUCUGCCCUAUCAACUUUCGAUGGUAAGGUAUUGGCUUACCAUGGUUUCAACGGGUAACGGGGAAUUAGGGUUCGAUUCCGGAGAGGGAGCCUGAGAAACGGCUACCACAUCCAAGGAAGGCAGCAGGCGCGCAAAUUACCCAAUCCCGACACGGGGAGGUAGUGACAAUAAAUACUGAUACAGGGCUCUUUUGGGUCUUGUAAUUGGAAUGAGUACAAUUUAAACCCCUUAACGAGGAACAAUUGGAGGGCAAGUCUGGUGCCAGCAGCCGCGGUAAUUCCAGCUCCAAUAGCGUAUAUUAAAGUUGUUGCAGUUAAAAAGCUCGUAGUUGAAACUUGGGUCUGGCUAGCGGGUCCGCCUCACCGCGUGCACUUGUCCGGCUGGACCUUUCCUUCUGGAGAACCUCAUGCCCUUCACUGGGUGUGUUGGGGAACCAGGACUUUUACUUUGAAAAAAUUAGAGUGUUCAAAGCAGGCCUUUGCUCGAAUACGUUAGCAUGGAAUAAUAGAAUAGGACGUGCGGUCCUAUUUUGUUGGUUUCUAGGAUCGCCGUAAUGAUUAAUAGGGAUAGUCGGGGGCAUCAGUAUUCAAUUGUCAGAGGUGAAAUUCUUGGAUUUAUUGAAGACUAACUACUGCGAAAGCAUUUGCCAAGGAUGUUUUCAUUAAUCAGUGAACGAAAGUUGGGGGAUCGAAGACGAUCAGAUACCGUCGUAGUCUCAACCGUAAACUAUGCCGACUAGGGAUCGGGCGAUGUUUCUAUCUUGACUCGCUCGGCACCUUACGAGAAAUCAAAG
This 1000-nucleotide ribosomal RNA is filed under the name Byssosphaeria siamensis. RNAcentral's name for it is "SSU rRNA". It matches the Rfam family "Eukaryotic small subunit ribosomal RNA", at positions 95 to 1103 of the family's 1831-position model. The record is from RNAcentral. Lineage: Eukaryota; Fungi; Ascomycota; Dothideomycetes; Pleosporales; Melanommataceae.